This 465-nucleotide ribosomal RNA is filed under the name Vreelandella stevensii. RNAcentral describes it as "partial 16S ribosomal RNA". It matches the Rfam family "Bacterial small subunit ribosomal RNA", at positions 338 to 795 of the family's 1533-position model. Lineage: Bacteria; Pseudomonadati; Pseudomonadota; Gammaproteobacteria; Oceanospirillales; Halomonadaceae. The record is from RNAcentral.
CCUACGGGUGGCUGCAGUGGGGAAUAUUGGACAAUGGGCGAAAGCCUGAUCCAGCCAUGCCGCGUGUGUGAAGAAGGCCUUCGGGUUGUAAAGCACUUUCAGUGGGGAAGAAAGCCUUGGGGCUAAUACCCUCGAGGAAGGACAUCACCCACAGAAGAAGCACCAGCUAACUCCGUGCCAGCAGCCGCGGUAAUACGGAGGGUGCGAGCGUUAAUCGGAAUUACUGGGCGUAAAGCGCGCGUAGGCGGUCUGAUAAGCCGGUUGUGAAAGCCCCGGGCUCAACCUGGGAACGGCAUCCGGAACUGUCAGGCUAGAGUGCAGGAGAGGAAGGUAGAAUUCCCGGUGUAGCGGUGAAAUGCGUAGAGAUCGGGAGGAAUACCAGUGGCGAAGGCGGCCUUCUGGACUGACACUGACGCUGAGGUGCGAAAGCGUGGGUAGCAAACAGGAUUAGAUACCCGGGUAGUC